This 200-nucleotide ribosomal RNA is filed under the name uncultured bacterium. RNAcentral describes it as "partial 16S ribosomal RNA". It matches the Rfam family "Bacterial small subunit ribosomal RNA", at positions 8 to 217 of the family's 1533-position model. The record is from RNAcentral.
AGAGUUUGAUCAUGGCUCAGGAUGAACGCUGGCGGCGUGCCUAACACAUGCAAGUCGAGCGAUCUUCUUCGGAAGAGAGCGGCGGACGGGUGAGUAACGCGUGGGUAACCUGCCCUGUACACACGGAUAACAUACCGAAAGGUAUGCUAAUACGAGAUAAUAUAUGAGAGUUGCAUAACUUUCAUAUCAAAGCUUUUGCG